Manis javanica (Malayan pangolin) is the source of this 872-nucleotide non-coding RNA. NCBI's taxonomy places the organism in Eukaryota, Metazoa, Chordata, Mammalia, Pholidota, Manidae. The record is from RefSeq and is a predicted model, not a curated record.
GCUGCUGGCGCCUCUCGGCCGCAGCCGGGCCCCGCGCCCACUUUCACUUUCCGCGCCGGGGCGGCUCCCCGGAGUCCGCGCGGGUUCCCCUCUUGGCGGCGCGGGUGACUUAACGAAUCAGCCCGGAACCGUGUAGGGGGGAGACGGCUCUGUGUCAUCCCCCCACCAGGUGCAGCCUGUGAAGCCCAGGCCCAGCUGACAGUCCAGAGCGGCCCUGGGCACUUACCGCCCAUCAGCCCGGAGAGGGACUGCCUGCCCGCUGGGUUAGCAGCAUUCUCUCCGUCCUAGGUACUUGGAAUAUAACACUGAACAAAAUAGAUGUGGUCCCUUCCCUUGCGCAGUCUGCAGUAGAGCAGUGAAGACUCACAAUUGUGUAAGCAAGGGCAGUAAUGUGCAGCCAGCGCUCUGAUGGAGAAGGCCAGGCUCCACUGAGGACCCUGAGAAGCAGCUCUGACCCAGCCACCUGGCCUGGAGAAAGCUGUAGGAUGAGAACAUAUUUCCUGGAGGAAGAUGGUUCCAAGUGGGAUGUACCAUUGGCCUCGGGGACACUGAAAUUCAGAAAGUGGAGAUACAUGUUUAGCUGUGGAUGAAAGAAUCUGCUACAGUCUUGUACAAGGUACUACUUAUUAUAUAAAAAUCUAGAGAAUCUUGCUUUUAUUCAUUUGUUUUCAACUUUGGCUACUGUGAAUGCCCCUCUCCCAGAUUUGAUUAUAACCUCUAUGUAUAAAACCUAAAACAUACACUUUUUAAUCUUUAUUUUGCAUUUUUUAUUUGAUAAGCUAUUUGGCCCAUUCAUUUGUAAAGAAGUAAUGCAAUGUGUGUCUUAGUAGUUAAUAAAUUCCCAAACUAUGAAAUCUGAGGGUUUAUUCAAA